RNAcentral lists this long non-coding RNA (264 nucleotides) under Mytilus galloprovincialis (Mediterranean mussel). The record is from RNAcentral. Lineage: Eukaryota; Metazoa; Mollusca; Bivalvia; Mytilida; Mytilidae.
AUAAUUAGGUCUUUCCACUUUUCUGUGGAAAGACCUAUUGUUUUUCUUCUGAUUAUUAGGUCUUUCCACUUUUCCGUGGAAAGACCUAUUGGAUUUCUUCUGAUUAUUAUUAUUAUUUUUUUUUUUUUUUCUUCCGCCUAAUUUUUUUCCUUCGCUGUUUUUUUGUUUCACAAGAUGUCGCUUAGAUUUUUGGAAUAUGAUAUCGAACAAUUUAUAUGCUUUUGAAACCAACUCUGCUUAACCGAAUACUUUCCCAAAUAAGAG